Molecule: ribosomal RNA, 744 nt
Filed under: Triticum aestivum (bread wheat)
Lineage: Eukaryota; Viridiplantae; Streptophyta; Magnoliopsida; Poales; Poaceae
Description: partial small subunit ribosomal RNA
Source: RNAcentral
UUGCAGGCUGCUCCGUCGACCUCGGUGGUUCCUGUGUCCCGACCACAUACACGCAGUCGCAGUGGCAUUUUCAAACCUAAGGAACGUAAGGAUGGUACGGUUGCUUGGUUGGCUGCUUGUUUGGCUGCUGCUGUUGCGGAUCCAUCUUCUGAGCCUCGCUCAUAUCAGGCUGCCCUAUGCAUUCCACAUUGGCGAGAGGCUAUGGAGCAGGAGUUUCAUGUUCUCCUUCGUAACAAGACAUGGACUCUCGUUCCUCCACCACCACGGGUAAAUAUUAUUGACUCAAAAUGGGUAUUCAAAGUGAAGAAGCAUUCGGAUGGAUCUAUUGAGCGUUACAAAGCGCGACUUGUUGCUCGCGGUUUUUGGCAGCGCCAUGGUCUUGACUAUGAGGACACCUUCAGUCCUGUCGUCAAGCCUACCACUAUUCCGCUUCUUCUCUCCAUUGCUGUUUCUCGUGGUUGGUCACUUCGUCAACUUGAUGUGCAGAAUGCUUUUCUACAUGGUUUUUUGGAGGAAGAGGUUUAUAUGAAACAGCCGCCUGGUUUCUCUGAUCCUGAUCGUCCUGACUAUAUCUGUCGUCUCUCCAAAGCACUAUAUGGUUUGAAGCAAGCUCCUCGUGCCUGGCAUGCCCGCCUUGCCUCUGCCCUUCGUGCUCAUGGGUUUGUGCCGUCCACUGCUGACACUUCAUUAUUUCUUCUACAGAAGCCAGAAGUCACUAUGUAUCUUUUGGUAUAUGUCGAUGAU